RNAcentral lists this ribosomal RNA (482 nucleotides) under uncultured bacterium. RNAcentral's name for it is "partial 16S ribosomal RNA". It matches the Rfam family "Bacterial small subunit ribosomal RNA", at positions 30 to 507 of the family's 1533-position model. The record is from RNAcentral.
AUUGAACGCUGGCGGCAUGCUUCACACAUGCAAGUCGAACGGCAGCGCGGGGCAACCUGGCGGCGAGUGGCGAACGGGGACGUAAUAUAUCCGAACGGACCCAGAAGUUGUGGAUAACGUAGCAAAAGUUACGCUAAUACCUCAUACGAUCUACGAUUUAGAGUAGGGGGCCGCAAUGGCUUAUGCUGUUGUAGCUGCCGAUAUCUGAUUAGCUAGUUGGCGAGGUAAAGGCUCACCAAGGCGACGAUCAGUAGCUGGUCCGAGAGGACGACCAGCCACACUGGAACUGAGACACGGUCCCGACUCCUACGGGAGGCAGCAGUGGGGAAUUUUGGACAAUGGGGGCAAGCCUGAUCCAGCAAUGCCGGCUGAGUGAAGAAGGCCUUCGGGUUGUAAAGCUCUUUUGUCAGGGAAGAAACGGUAGAGGCUAAUAUCCUUUGCUAAUGACGGUACCUGAAGAAUAAGCACCGGCUAACUACGUG